This 406-nucleotide ribosomal RNA is filed under the name uncultured bacterium. RNAcentral's name for it is "partial 16S ribosomal RNA". It matches the Rfam family "Bacterial small subunit ribosomal RNA", at positions 30 to 526 of the family's 1533-position model. The record is from RNAcentral.
AUUGAACGCUGGCGGCAGGCUUAACACAUGCAAGUCGAGCGAGCGGCGGACGGGUGAGUAAUGUCUGGGAAACUGCCUGAUGGAGGGGGAUAACUACUGGAAACGGUAGCUAAUACCGCAUACCAUCAGAUGUGCCCAGAUGGGAUUAGCUAGUAGGUGGGGUAAUGGCUCACCUAGGCGACGAUCCCUAGCUGGUCUGAGAGGAUGACCAGCCACACUGGAAAGGAGACACGGUCCAGACUCCUACGGGAGGCAGCAGUGGGGAAUAUUGAACAAGGGGCGCAAGCCUGAUGCAGCCAUGCCGCGUGUAUGAAGAAGGCCUUCGGGUUGUAAAGUACUUUCAGCGAGGAGGGGGUAUUCGCAGAAGAAGCACCGGCUAACUCAGUGCCAGCAGCCGCGGUAAUAC